UGUAAAGGGCGGAGCUUAUAACAAUGACUGACAGGGAGCUAAGAUGGAGGUGGCUCUCUCUAUACUGACUGCCAGGUGUAAAGGGCGGAGCUUAUAACAAUGAUUGACAGGGAGCUAAGAUGGAGGCUGCUCUCUCUAUACUGACUGCCAGGUGUAAAGGGCGGAGCUUAUAACAAUGAUUGACAGGGAGCUAAGAUGGAGGCGGCUCUCUCUAUACUGACUGCCAGGUGUAAAG
Molecule: non-coding RNA, 235 nt
Organism: Pelobates cultripes (western spadefoot toad)
Lineage: Eukaryota; Metazoa; Chordata; Amphibia; Anura; Pelobatidae
Source: the annotation of a GenBank genome assembly